Molecule: microRNA precursor, 87 nt
Filed under: Marmota monax (woodchuck)
Lineage: Eukaryota; Metazoa; Chordata; Mammalia; Rodentia; Sciuridae
Source: RNAcentral
ACACUGUUCACCUGGGGGUCUUGUUAAGACGCAGGUCUGGGGUGGACCAGAUGCUGCACUUCUAACAAUUCCCUGGGUGAGAUCGAU